RNAcentral lists this transfer RNA (71 nucleotides) under Bos taurus (domestic cattle). It matches the Rfam family "tRNA". From Rfam's summary of the family: Transfer RNA (tRNA) molecules are approximately 80 nucleotides in length. Their secondary structure includes four short double-helical elements and three loops (D, anti-codon, and T loops). Further hydrogen bonds mediate the characteristic L-shaped molecular structure. tRNAs have two regions of fundamental functional importance: the anti-codon, which is responsible for specific mRNA codon recognition, and the 3' end, to which the tRNAs corresponding amino acid is attached (by aminoacyl-tRNA synthetases). tRNAs cope with the degeneracy of the genetic code in two manners: having more than one tRNA (with a specific anti-codon) for a particular amino acid; and 'wobble' base-pairing, i.e. permitting non-standard base-pairing at the 3rd anti-codon position. The record is from Rfam by way of RNAcentral. Lineage: Eukaryota; Metazoa; Chordata; Mammalia; Artiodactyla; Bovidae. RNAcentral also lists the same sequence under 1 other name.
UCCCUGGUGACUCAGUGGUAAAGAAUCUGCCUGCAAUGCAGAAAAUUCAGGUUCGAUUCCUGGGUUGGGAA